CUCCAUCACACCCCAUCCUGCUAUCUUCAUCACCUUUGCACCAUCAUCAAUAUCUUCCAUUCAUUUCCUCCACCUCUACACACUCCGACAACCACGAGAAACCAACCAAAAUCGACAACACCAUAAUCACCACACUUGACCCUUGUAAUUAACCCCUUUCAUCUCUAAACAAACACAAUCUUAAACCAACUUCUUCAUCUAUCUUCAAACCUUCACUACCAUCAUAAAACUUCAUCAAAAUAUAGCUUCAUUAUCCACUCCACACAUAACCAUUCAUAAAGUCAAAACUCUGAACCAAAAAAACCGGCAAUGAACUCACUCUUCUCUUUCCCAACUCCAUCACCUCACCAUACCUUCACCGGCCAACCAACAUGCCAUUACACCUUCACUUUCAACAUCCCCCAAACACCAUUAAACAUAAGCAAAAUCUAAAAAUCCACAUAACACCACCAUCCCUUACUGAAAAAACAACAAUAGAGAAAACACAAAAAAAAAUCUAAGUAGCAAAAAAACUUGAAAAAGAAAAGAAGAAGAAAGUUCGAAGAAACACAAAGUCACCGACAACACCUCAACCUUCUCCGACGUCAUUCUAAAUAAACAACCAUAAUACACAAACAAACCUUCAUAAAUCAUUCAUCUUCACUCAUGUUUACAUUAUAAAAUUGCUUCAACAAACAACAAACAAAAGCGGAAAAAAAGAAACGACUGGAUCCUUCCACUUUCUUCCGCCAUCGUCUGCCACGAAUCACGACGUCAGCCACCACCACUGCUCUUCGUGCGACCACUUUGGUUGGAGCAUUUUAAAUUUUGAAAAUCAACUAUCUUGCCACGUGAAUGAUCCGCUCCUUAUUAAUAUUUUUUAUUUUUUUAUUCCUAUUUUUCUUUUGUUGUUUAAUUUUAUAUUUUAUUAAAUUAGGAAUAAUUUUGAUUAGUUGGAUUGGGCCCAAACAUGUUGAUUCUUUCACACUCAUAUCCAUCUUUAUACUCCUUUUGUGUUUUAUUUUUAUUUUUAUAGUUUUUU
Molecule: long non-coding RNA, 1021 nt
Filed under: Lathyrus oleraceus (garden pea)
Lineage: Eukaryota; Viridiplantae; Streptophyta; Magnoliopsida; Fabales; Fabaceae
Description: Pisum sativum (pea) long non-coding RNA (PSAT_LNC022961)
Source: RNAcentral